AUGCAGAUCAGUGUCCUUGAACCUGCAUGCUUUGACAACUUAUCCAGCUCCCUGCUGGUUCUGAAGCUAAACAGGAACAGAAUAACACUGCUACCAUACAAAGUGUUCAGGCUUCCCCAGCUGCAGUUCCUGGAAUUAAAGCGUAACAAGAUCAAGUUGGUGGACAGCCUGACCUUCAAAGGGAUGGACUUACUGAAAUCACUGAAGAUGCAGCGGAAUGGCAUCACAAAGCUGAUGGACGGUGCUUUCUUUGGGUUCAACAACAUGGAGGUGCUAGAGCUAGAGCACAACAAUUUGACGGAGGUCAACAAAGGCUGGCUGUAUGGCCUACACAUGCUGCAUGUUCUGCGGGUCAACCAGAACACCAUCGGCAUCAUCCGACCAGACGCCUGGGAGUUCUGCCAAAAGCUGGAGGAGCUCGAUCUGUCCUUCAACCACCUCACCCGGUUGGAGGAGACCGUGUUCAUUGGACUGGGCCUUCUGGAGAACCUGAACCUAGGAGAGAAUACCAUCAGCCACCUGGGAGAGGGAGUUUUCAGCAGUCUGGCCAAUCUGCGCUCACUAGACAUACGGAAUAAUGAGAUCUCUUGGGCCAUUGAGGAUUCCAUUGGUGUGUUUGUUGGAAUGAAGAAGCUGAACACAUUGAUUCUACAGCAGAACAAUAUUAAAUCUAUCACAAAAGAAGCCUUUGAGAGUCUGGAGAAACUAGAGCACUUGGACCUGAGCAAGAAUGGGAUCAUGUCCAUCCACCUUGAUUCGUUGUCUCACAUGAACUUAAGUAGUAAUUUUCUGAAUACUAGCAGCCUGCUGUGUGACUGCCAACUGCAGUGGCUGGGCCCAUGGUUGACUGACAACCGCUUCCUGCAGUCUGUCUCCUAUGUGUGCUCACCCUGCCAGCCUGCUGGGCCGUAACGUCCUGUCUGUCAGCCUGGAGGAGCUGGUCUGUGAUGACUUCCCAAAGCCCCGGAUCACAGACCACCCUGAGACUGCCACCGCCCUGCGUGGGACCAAUGUGACUGAGCUGCCUGGCAUCCAGCAGCAGUGACUCCCCCAUGGCCAUGGCCUGAAGGAAGGACUGGGAGGUGCUGUACGAUGCAGAGGUGCAGAAUUGCACCCGCUACCAGGAGGGAAAGCUGUUCUACACCACCGUGCUGUAUCUCCUCAACGUCAACUUCACAGACGAGGGAUGCUACCAGUGUGUUGUCUCAAACCACUUUGGCUCUAACUACUCUAACAGGGCAAGCUCACAGUCAAUGAGCUGCCGUCCUUUCUGAAGACUCCGAUGCACCUGACCAUCCCACGGGCACCAUGGCCAGGCUGGAGUGUGCUGCCGAGGGUCACCCAUCACCCCAGAUCGCUUGGCAGAAAGACGGGGGCACAGACUUCCCUGCUGCCCGAUGACAUCUUCUUCACUGCCAAUGUAAAGACAGAGGAUAUGGGAGUGUACAGCUGCACAGCCCAGAAUGCUGCAGGGAGCAUGUCUGCCAACGCUACACUCACUGUGCUAGAAACAUCGUCCUUCAUGCGUCCCCUGGAGGACAGGACGGUAGCUUGUGGGGAGACGGCAGUGCUCUAGUGUAUCGCAGGCGGAAGCCCAGCACCCCGCCUCAACUGGACCAAGGAUGACGGGCCCCUGGUCCUCACCGAGCGACACUUCUUUGCCGCCACCAACCAGCUCCUCAUCAUCGUGGACACAGGGAAGUACACGUGCAUCAUGUCCAACACGCUGGGCACGGAGCGUGGCCACAUCUACCUCAGCGUGUCUCCCAACUGCGACACUGCGGGCGGCUACGACUGGGAUAGCUGGAACACGGUGGGCAUCGUGGUGGUCUGCUGCGUGGUGGGCACCUUGCUGGUCUGGGUCAUCGUCAUCUACCACAUGCGAAGGAAGAGCGAGGACUACAGCAUCACCAACUCAGACGAGAUGAAGCUGCCGGUAGACAUCCCCAGCUACCUGUCCUCUCAGGGAACGCUGUCUGAGCCUCAGGAGGGAUACAGCAACUCUGAAGCAGGGAGCCACCAGCAGCUCAUGCCACCACUGUCCAACGGCUACGUCCACAAGGGAACUGGCUACGUCCACAAGGGAACUGGCUACGUCCACAAGGGAACUGGCUACGUCCACAAGGGAACUGGCUACGUCCACAAGGGAACUGAUGGUGUGUGCUACAGUGACACAGGCAGUGAGGUGGACACCGAGGCCAACGGGAUGCUGCACUGCCGUGUGGGCUCUCUGUUCAUGGGACAAAGCAUCUUCCAUCCUUGGCAUCCCCGUGAGGGACUAGCUGUGGUGUCGACAGGUGGUGCAGGGCCGCUGGUCAUCUGCUCGGACUGCGACGACAACAUUAACAUGUACUCUCGGACCCGGGAGUACUACGCCUACCUGGCCGAGGAUGACCCCCUGGACAAGGGUCUCUCUGGCAUCAUGGCCCAACUUCCCAAGGAGCCCUAUGGGGAGCAGAGAGGCCAGCAUGAGGACACAGCCCUGGAGAGCCUCAUCAACAACCAGGACUCUUCAGUCUUCCUCACCAGCCACAACUCCUCAGUCUUCCUCACCAAGAGGCUGAGCAAAGCCCUCUGGCCCCCGGAACAACACUAUAGCACCGUCUCUGCAGAUGUCCCCCCCAGGUCGUUUUGGGGCAAAAGGGAGGACUUGUCUACAGUGCCACGACCAGGUCUGUCACAGCAGCCAGUGACUGUGCACACAACUCCCUAUGCAGGGAGGGGAGGAGUGUGGAGGUGGAGCUCUCUCUUCCUCAGAGCACACAGUACCACAGAAGUGCCUCUUAUAGGACUAUGUCUCAGGAGCACAUCCAAGCCCCCACAUAAAGCUCUGCCAAACCACUCUGCCAAAAAUGCUUUCUUGUAUAUUUAGAUUAUUUCAGUCACGCAGAGACUAUUUGCUACUAUGAUUUUGAAAAUAUAUCUAGGGCUUGAGAACUGAAAAGGUGAAUGACGCCCCCUGAUUACCCCCCCCCCCCCCCCCCCCCCCCUUCCUCCCUCUCAUUCUAGAGGAAGCUAUGAAUGUUUGUGUCAAAGAGCCAUGUUGGAUGCUGCCUUUUUGAGUUUUAAGAUGUCACACAUUUGAACGUGCUCUCAUGACGUACUGUCUGGAAGGUGGAAUGGCAGCAGUGUUGAUGGAUGCCCCAGUUAUUCUGCUUUCUGCUUGCAGAUGCCACAUUUUUGGUACAGUCUUGUUGGAGCAGCCUUAGUGAUUUAAGUUACAAGUCCAGGACAUAGCUUCCUCUCGUCCAGGACUAGAGGGGUCAAAGAGACCCCAGUUGUUUCUUGUUCAGCAGUGAGUGGUACAUAGCUAUAGGAUCACUGAAUGAAUCCCCCCCUCUAGCCAUCCGUAUUGACUGUAAUCGUCUACUAUUAUGCAAACCCAGAGACAAUGACACUAGAUGUGUGUUAGAUAUAAUUUUCACCUAUUAUCUAUGUCUCUUAAGCUAAGAUUGUUUUGCCUUGGGUCAAAGAGGCAGUUGUUCCGAUAGUUACUCAUGUUUUUUUUGUAUGAAAACACUAUCGAAGCAAAGAAAAUAUUGGGUAUUGCACAUUAUUUUGAUAAUCAUGGUUCAGGUGGCCUCUAAUGGUUUUCAACAGGCAUUCUCAGUAACCCUCCAUCGGGUAACCCUAUGGUUUCUAAUCACUUAUAUGCACUGAUCAUUUCCUCUCAAAAGCUUAUUUUACAGGCACUUACCUCAUACGUGGUGUGUUUUAUUAUGCAGUGUGUAUGCCAUUUUAGAUUCCUAAUGGAUAAUAUAUGCCUUUACCCCCAAUUUCAUCAAUACAGGCCAGAUUUAACCUUGGUACUGUGAAGAAUGUAUUGUAUGGAUUUAAACGUUUAUGUCUAUUCAUAACUACAUCCCUCAAACCCUAAGAAGGUAGUUGGAAUUAUUUUUGUCCUAACCUGCCGUAAGUUAGAUGUUGUUUUUUGUGUGUAUGUCAGAAUUUUUGUAGUCACUCCAGGGUGAUUCCUAACUUGAGAUGGUAGAUUUCCUCAACAUUGUGGAAAGCAUGUAGAUCUCAAGUCAGGAUUUGGCCCAAAAUGUUGGUACAAAUUUCAUCUAGCUAAAACCAAGAUGUUUAAGGGUUGUCUUUCAUUUAAAUCACACCUGUUUCCUUUGUUCAAAUAAAAUAAUCAUUUUGGCAAUGGAACAUAGAUACUUCAGAAUAAGAUGUAGAUGUGUGAAGGCUAUACAAACAAAGAUACUACAUGAAGAUUGCCCUGACAGGUUUGGUUGAAUCCGUCCUUUAGUCAUUAUUUUUUCACAUUUUUUAAAUCUCACAAUUAUUGCACUUCCGAUUCAGCCAAACAUGAUUGCAUUUCUUCUCUCUCGUGUACACUUUCACUUUUACGUGCAUGUCAACUACUAUGCUUUUAUUCCUGCCUCUACCAUAUUGACAGUUAUACAUUUCCAUGUAGGAUUGUUUCUUAGUUACACAAUGCAUUCAUGCUAAAAUUGUAUCUUUUUGAUAAGACAUUCCGUGUGACUUUUUGCUUGAUAAUGCAUCUGGUACAUUUUCAUAUUUUGAGUUUGAUCAAAAAGGACUCAUUUUGUCAAUGUUGCAGUUGGUCUCAAACUGUUAUUUUUCUCUGUGGUACGUGACUUAACAAAUUUGCACAUGAUUCUUGUACACAAUUGAUUUUUGUUGUGGCUUCUUUUCAAAAGUCCAUGGUUUUGAAGUUCUAUAAACCAGGUCAUCCCUUGUAUACCAAAAUAAAUCAUUCCAACCCCAUGCCACUGGAUUCAAUAUUGGCAUGAAUAGAGCUAAUACACAGAUGACAUUUUCUGCUCGAUAAUUAAAGCAUUUCAAUUCAAGGUAGUAAUUGUUGCCGAUAGCUUAAUCACUUUUAAUUUUAUUUGUAUAUUUUUUUUGCGCACUCCAUGUAUCCGGUAGAAACAGUUCUCUAAUCUGAGUCCAUAGUGGGUUUGCUCUACUGAAUGUUGGAUUUUAUAUUGAACAAAAAUAUAAAAGCAACAUGCAACAAUUUCAAUGAUUUUACUAGGUAACAGUUCAUAGAAGGAAAUGAGUCAAUUUAAAUAAGUUAUCUAGGCCCUAAUUGAAGAAUCUCACAUGACUGGGCAGGGGUGCAGCUAUGGGUGGGCCUGUGAGAGCAUAAGCCCACCCACUGGGGAGCCAGGCCCAGCCAAUCAGCCAGAUAUGGAGGUCCUGGGCUGGCAUGGUUACACAUGGUCUGCGGUUGUGUGGCCGGUUGAAAGUACUGCUAAAUUCCCUAAAGUGACAUUGGAGGCAUCUUAUGCUUUAGACAUUAUCUGGCAACUGCUCUGUUGGACAUUCCUGUAGUCAACAUGCCAAUUGCACACUCCCUCAUUGAGACAUCUGUGGCAUUGUGUUGUGAGAAAACUGAACAUUUUAGUGGCCUUUUAUUGUCCCCAGCACAAGGUGCACCUACGUAAUCAUGCUAUUUAUUCAGCUUCUUGACCUGCCACACCUGUCAAGUGGAUAGAUUAUCUUGGCAAAGAAUAAAUGCUCACUAACCGGGAUGUAAACAAAUUUGUGCACAGAAUGAGAGAAAUAUGCUUUUUGUGCAUUUGGGAAAUUUCGGGGAACUUCUAUUUCAGCCCAUGAAACAUAACACUUUACAUGUUGUGGUUAUUUUUGUUUAGUGUGUAUAUAUGGAUUUGUAUAGUAACUGUUUUUUUUCCUAAUGGGAGCUCAACUAUGUCCACAUGACAUGCAUUUGUGUUUAAAGCAAACUUCUUUUUUUUUUCCCUCCCAUCUUUAUCUUUGCUUUGUAUUGCUGACUCUUGUUUUUUUUCUUCUCUUUAUACCGAAGUUCAUCAGUAAUGCUCUAACAAUAUUUAAAAUGCUGCUUGUUUUCUUUAUCAAAGUUUUUAUCUUGACUAGUUGUAUAUUCUGUAAACAAAAAAACAAACAUUUUUGUUUCUUGAUAUGUAGCUAUCAUUAAAACGAUCACAAAUGUGAUCAUUCUGGCCA
Molecule: RNA transcript, 5961 nt
Organism: Oncorhynchus kisutch (coho salmon)
Lineage: Eukaryota; Metazoa; Chordata; Actinopteri; Salmoniformes; Salmonidae
Gene name: leucine-rich repeats and immunoglobulin-like domains protein 2
Exons: 15
Source: RefSeq, a predicted model, not a curated record